CCUACGGGGGGCUGCAGUGGGGAAUAUUGGACAAUGGGGGCAACCCUGAUCCAGCCAUGCCGCGUGUGUGAAGAAGGCCCUCGGGUUGUAAAGCACUUUCAGUGAGGAAGAACGCCUGGUGGUUAAUACCCAUCAGGAAAGACAUCACUCACAGAAGAAGCACCGGCUAACUCCGUGCCAGCAGCCGCGGUAAUACGGAGGGUGCGAGCGUUAAUCGGAAUUACUGGGCGUAAAGCGCGCGUAGGUGGCUUGAUAAGCCGGUUGUGAAAGCCCCGGGCUCAACCUGGGAACGGCAUCCGGAACUGUCAAGCUAGAGUGCAGGAGAGGAAGGUAGAAUUCCCGGUGUAGCGGUGAAAUGCGUAGAGACCGGGAGGAAUACCAGUGGCGAAGGCGGCCUUCUGGACUGACACUGACACUGAGGUGCGAAAGCGUGGGUAGCAAACAGGAUUAGAUACCCUAGUAGUC
RNAcentral lists this ribosomal RNA (465 nucleotides) under Vreelandella stevensii. Its description in RNAcentral is "partial 16S ribosomal RNA". It matches the Rfam family "Bacterial small subunit ribosomal RNA", at positions 338 to 795 of the family's 1533-position model. The record is from RNAcentral. Lineage: Bacteria; Pseudomonadati; Pseudomonadota; Gammaproteobacteria; Oceanospirillales; Halomonadaceae.